Molecule: transfer RNA, 74 nt
Filed under: Millerozyma farinosa
Lineage: Eukaryota; Fungi; Ascomycota; Pichiomycetes; Serinales; Debaryomycetaceae
Description: partial transfer RNA
Rfam family: tRNA
About the family: Transfer RNA (tRNA) molecules are approximately 80 nucleotides in length. Their secondary structure includes four short double-helical elements and three loops (D, anti-codon, and T loops).
Source: RNAcentral
GACUCCGUGGCCAAGCUGGCUAAGGCGUGCGACUGUUAAUCGCAAGAYCGUGAGUYCAAUCCUCACCGGGGUCG